RNAcentral lists this ribosomal RNA (462 nucleotides) under uncultured bacterium. Its description in RNAcentral is "SSU rRNA". It matches the Rfam family "Bacterial small subunit ribosomal RNA", at positions 26 to 518 of the family's 1533-position model. The record is from RNAcentral.
AGGACGAACGCUGGCGGCGUGCUUAACACAUGCAAGUCGAACGAGGCGCUUGCGCCUAGUGGCGAACGGGUGAGUAACACGUGAGCAACCUGCCCUUGGCUCUGGGAUAGCCUCCGGAAACGGGGAUUAAUACCGGACAUGACCUUCUCCUGCAUGGGGGAGGGUGGAAAGUUUUUCGGCCAGGGAGGGGCUCGCGGCCUAUCAGCUUGUUGGGGGGUAACGGCCCACCAAGGCGACGACGGGUAGCCGGCCUGAGAGGGCGACCGGCCACACUGGGACUGAGACACGGCCCAGACUCCUACGGGAGGCAGCAGUGGGGAAUAUUGCACAAUGGGGGAAACCCUGAUGCAGCGACGCCGCGUGCGGGAUGAAGGCCUUCGGGUUGUAAACCGCUUUCAGCAGGGGCGAAUUCAGACGGUACCUGCAGAAGAAGCGCCGGCUAACUACGUGCCAGCCAGCCGC